RNAcentral lists this ribosomal RNA (216 nucleotides) under Triticum aestivum (bread wheat). Its description in RNAcentral is "partial small subunit ribosomal RNA". The record is from RNAcentral. Lineage: Eukaryota; Viridiplantae; Streptophyta; Magnoliopsida; Poales; Poaceae.
AAAGGACAAGGAGGUAUGAGUUUUCGAGAUCUUAGGUUAUUUAAUUAGGCGCUUCUAGCUAAGCCGGCGUGGCGAUUAUUGAAAAAUCCAGAUUUGCUUUGCGCAAACUCGAUGAGGGCAAAAUAUUAUCCGCCUGGUCAUCUUCUUGACACAGACUUUACGCAAUCAACGUUGGCGACUUGGAAAGCUAUUAUGCAUGUUAUUGAACUUUUUUAA